AGCGAACGCUGGCGGCAGGCCUAACACAUGCAAGUCGAACGAACUCUUCGGAGUUAGUGGCGGACGGGUGAGUAACACGUGGGAACGUGCCUUUUGGUUCGGAAUAACUCAGGGAAACUUGUGCUAAUACCGAAUGUGCCCUUCGGGGGAAAGAUUUAUCGCCAUUAGAGCGGCCCGCGUCUGAUUAGCUAGUUGGCGAGGUAACGGCUCACCAAGGCGACGAUCAGUAGCUGGUCUGAGAGGAUGACCAGCCACACUGGGACUGGGACACGGCCCAGACUCCUACGGGAGGCGGCAGUGGGGAAUCUUGCGCAAUGGGCGAAAGCCUGACGCAGCCAUGCCGCGUGAAUGAUGAAGGUCUUAGGAUUGUAAAAUUCUUUCACCGGGGACGAUAAUGACGGUACCCGGAGAAGAAGCCCCGGCUAACUUCGUG
Molecule: ribosomal RNA, 433 nt
Filed under: uncultured bacterium
Lineage: Bacteria
Description: partial 16S ribosomal RNA
Rfam family: Bacterial small subunit ribosomal RNA
Source: RNAcentral